UGGGGAAUUUUGGACAAUGGGGGAAACCCUGAUCCAGCCAUCCCGCGUGUGCGAUGAAGGCCUUCGGGUUGUAAAGCACUUUUGGCAGGAAAGAAACGUCCUGGGUUAAUACCCCGUGAAACUGACGGUACCUGCAGAAUAAGCACCGGCUAACUAAGUGCCAGCAGCCGCGGUAAUACGUAGGGUGCAAGCGUUAAUCGGAAUUACUGGGCGUAAAGCGUGCGCAGGCGGUUCGGAAAGAAAGAUGUGAAAUCCCAGAGCUCAACUUUGGAACUGCAUUUUUAACUACCGGGCUAGAGUGUGUCAGAGGGAGGUGGAAUUCCGCGUGUAGCAGUGAAAUGCGUAGAUAUGCGGAGGAACACCGAUGGCGAAGGCAGCCUCCUGGGAUAACACUGACGCUCAUGCACGAAAGCGUGGGGAGCAAACAGG
This 429-nucleotide ribosomal RNA is filed under the name Acidobacteriota bacterium. Its description in RNAcentral is "Acidobacteria bacterium partial 16S ribosomal RNA". It matches the Rfam family "Bacterial small subunit ribosomal RNA", at positions 355 to 776 of the family's 1533-position model. The record is from RNAcentral. Lineage: Bacteria; Pseudomonadati; Acidobacteriota.